UAAUCUAUUUUUUUAAUUGUAUCUCUAAAUUUUAAAAAAUGGGCAGAUUAAUUCUAAGAAAAUUGCCUUCCCCAAACCAUGCGAGGGAUGUCCAUGGAAUCAGAUCCACGCUCACCCCAUUCUGUUCUUGGAGCCAUGUGGGACGUAAGAUCCUCGGGAGGCUUAGGCUAGCCCAGAAGGGGCCUUCUACUUGUUGUCAGGACUCAGAGCCCAAGUGUGAGAGGGAUGCAAAGGGAAACCAGCUGGAGGGGGGCUGCUUCCGUACUCACUACCUGGAGGAGCGUGCAGGAGUGGUCAAGGCAGUUCCCUUAAAGCCCCCAUAGCCUUGGCUAGGAUCAAAGUGUCAGACCCAAGUGACUCAAGGCCUUGAAUUCUCAUCUUUCUGCUUCAGCAUCAUGAGUGCUGGGAAUGCAGACACAUGAAGCAUGCUAAGCCAAACUUACUCCAUCAAGGAGGAUAAAGGAAUCCAGAGAAGCCUACACAUUUGUAUCUGCUGACACAGAGCAAAUUCCAGUCCCUCCUGACGUGGGAGCAGGCAGGGAGAGAUGCUGUCCUCCUGGAAUGGUAGCUGUGACUUCAACUAAUGAACAGUAGAUAGCUAUGCAUCCUGGGAUGACAAGCACACACUUGCAAUUGUGCCCUGAAAUUCCAAGACCACAUUAUGACACAGUGGAGGCUGGGAAAGGGGCGGGCAGCUUUUCUUUCUCUGCCAACCUUCCUGCCCAAACAGAAGGGCUUUGGUCUUAACUUGUUUUAAUGAUCACACACAGAAGACUCCAGAAACCUCUUCCAUCUAGGUACUUCCGAUACCCUGGUCUCAUUGAGUGCUCACCGCUUGUGAGUAAACCAGGGCCCAGUACCUUGUGGAAGUCAAAUCUCUGAAAGGCAGGGUUUCUCAAAGACAGAGUUAAUUGUUAAAGCCUCAUGUUGUAAGGUCAGUUAGAACUCUUCUGCCAACGUUCAGUUCUUUGAAAAUCAGUUUUCAAAAGUAAGAACAUGUGGAGACUGUUCUCCCUAAGAAGGCGAAGCUCCAUCCGACACUGUUCAUACUGACGACAAUCGACACACAGCUCUGAAUUUGAAUGUCUUGGUCCUCGCUUCCUCUCCUCUUUCUCCUGAAAUGAUACAAAGACCUGCCUGGCAGAAGGGCCCACACUGCUGUGAUAGUCCUGGCACAAAGAACCCCAAGGACAGCAUGGAAGCAGGACAGGACCACUGCGGUCCCCUCAGUGCCUUCUUCAACAUGUACCACACAAUCAGCGCAUCAUCAUAUGCUAGCGAGCACAACUUUAACUUGACUUUAACUCUUCCCUGGUGGGGGCCACCAUGAGACACAGCAUCUGGAGUUAGCCAUCUACACAUCGGAUGACCUAAUAUCAGCACAGUGAGCCAAAGGUCACAAACCCCAAGGGUCAGCCAGCAGAAGCAGAGGUGGAAGUGCUAGGCAGAACACUUCUUGGGAAUAAAGACACAGAAUUGGUUA
Molecule: non-coding RNA, 1483 nt
Organism: Rattus norvegicus (Norway rat)
Lineage: Eukaryota; Metazoa; Chordata; Mammalia; Rodentia; Muridae
Source: RefSeq, a predicted model, not a curated record